ACUCCAACUGUGUUAGGUUCCCCAGGAGGAUGGGAUAUGACUAGUAGGAUUGUUGCUGGCAAGGUUGAGCAAAUGAAGCCCCUUGAGGCUCCCAAUGGAAGUUGGAAUCUGUCCUUUGAAAUUGUUACUUGAGAAAUCAAUUGCUAUGAAAUACCAGUGAUCUCCUCAUAAAACCUCUUCAUGCCUUUGUUUGUCAUUGUCAUUGAGUACAUGUAAUUGAAAGUCCACGUAUAACUCCGGAUUUGAAUCUUUUGAUUGGCCUGCAUGUACUUAAGGUGGUUUGCAUCUGUAAGUUUCAUGGCAUCCCAAUUUUGGAAAUACUCUGAUGGCAAAUCACUUAUAAACUCAUUGUUAGAGAGGUAGAUGAUGCGCAACUUGGGAAACCUGAAAUUGGUGUACCAACUCCCUAUUGCACCAUGGAAUCUGUUGGAUGUCAAAAUAAGAACUUGUAGCUGUGGGAGAGCUCCUAUCCAAAAAGGGAAAAUAUCAUCGAUUUGAUUGUUUCCAAGAGCAAGGUGCUCGAGCAUCGUGCAAUUGGCCAAUGAUCUUGGUAUAUAGUAAUGACUAAUGUGCAUUGACAACAACCCAGUAGGCCAGUCGGCCCAUUAAUUUUAAUCUGUUUCAGAAUUUGCCCCUCCAUGACUCUUUGUUACUAAUAAAAAUCUCCAUUUAUUAUAUGACCUGCAUUGGCUUAAGCUGAUGAACCCGCUCUCUCUCCGAUUGGUGACUUGAUAGAAGCUCUGGUGGAGCCCAAAUUCCACAAGUGAUGAGAUUGCAGAAAGCUAGUUAACCACAAAAAUAGUGGUCGUCCUUGACCUCUAUGGAGAUGCUGAAUGAAUGGCCAAAAUUCAUUUAAGAAUGCUGGGCCUUAUAUGAAAAACUCCAAAUGAAGCUGUCUCCAUUUGGAGUCAUGACGUGAAGAGAACGGCAAAAGACUUCAGCAAAUGGACAAAAGUAGCACCGUGUAUGAAAGUCUAAAGGGAAAGAGAAAAUUCUGUUUGGAUCGACUAAAUGAUUGAACUGUUAAUCCAUGAUAUGUCAAGGAUGUGCUCAUCUGUGUUCUAUGACAAAGGUUCAGCAUUCUCUAAAUCAUUUUUUUUUUCAUAAUUAAUAUUCAUUUUUUAAACAAAAUCAUCUAGCUGAUAAAAAAAAUUAUGCUUAACUCAAAUAAAUAUUCCCAUUUACUUCAUAUCCAAAAGGUUUAAUUGUGUGUCAUAUCCUUGUUCUAAAGUUUCUGGAAAGAAGACUUAUAAAAUGAUGUGGUAAGGUUGUUUUUGAAGAUAAAACCGAACAUAGGGUGAUAGUUGAUAUCUCUUCCUCUCACCUUCUCAACAAGGACAAAUAAUUAGAUGGAUUUUCACGCCCAAGAAGCUUUUUUGAUAGAAAAGAAGAUUCUUUAUUUUAAUUACUCUGCAAUCAAGGGGUUAAGUUCCAUCGUAAAGUUUUAAGUGCCAUAUAUUAAGACAGACAAAAGACCUUUGCAGAAGAGUCAAAUAACUAAGAUCUUCAGUUUGUGGUUAAUUACAAUCUGCAAUACUGUUGCAUAAAUAUAAACCACCAAGCACUUUUACAUCCCUGGUGGCUCAUUAUACUGCUACUAGUUAUAUAUAAAAGACUCUUAACUCUAAGCUAGGCCAGUGUCCAUUUUCACCUCUUUGCCAGAAAAAAAAUAUUAUAAAUACAAUGCAGUCAUAUUACUUCUGGUAUAUAAAUGUUCUGGGCUUUUGGUUGCUGCAGCCCACAGGAGAAGAGAAACAAAAGGUAAAUGAAGCGAUAAAACUAGCAUUUGUAGUUUAUUACAAGCCUCAAGCCUCUUGCAUUGUUAGUAUCAUCUCAUUACUCAACAAAAGAGGAAGUUUCAAGAGGAAAAAGGGAGAGAAAUCAAAUAGCCGUGGAAUAAAAAGAAAAAAAAGGAAGAAAUUGAGCAGUACUAGAAACACAUAGAUUUAAAUCUCUUGAGAAAAAUGUGGACGGAUGAUUUAGAAUAUGUUUGACAACUAUUUUCUUAAAACAUUUUUUUGAUCUUUGGAAAAAAAAAAGAGAAGAAAAACAUGUUUGACAAUUAGAAAAUAGAAAAUAGUUUUAUAAUCUUAAAAACAAAAAGUAACUUAUUUUUUUUAAAAAAUUUUUAGUUAUUUUUUAAAUAAUUAUAUAAUUAUAAAGUGAUUAAAAAUAAAGUAUUACAAAUAAAAGCUAUUUUUAAAAUAUAUUUAAAAAUAUAGAAAAUAGAUUAAGAACAUUUCAAGUUUCUAAACAAAUUUUUGAAUUUUUGUAUUAAAAUACAUCAUAUAACAAUUUUCAAAAACUAUUUUUAAAAACAAUUCCCAUUUAAUAUAUAUGUCUCUCUUUUCCCUUCUUUCUCCAUUUGGAUUGUCACAUUGCAAGAGUUUUCAUAUCCCAUCAAUGUGACUUGAUAAAAGGAAAAAGGAAUACCAAAAGAAGCGAUGAGAGUAACACCUUCAGUUUGCAGUUCAAUACAAGCCAUAAUCAAGUUGGAUCGCUACACUAUACAUAAUAAGAAACCCAAGCAAUUUUUACAUCCAUUUAUCAACACAGACACAAGUUGAAGUAACACCAUGACUAAAAAGGAAAAAGAAAUGAGGAAAGAAGUCCAACAAUGCAAACAAUAUACAUAGAUUAAGAAAUUUUACAAGGAAUUUUGGGUUGGAUAAAUACAGCCUAUGUGCCCCUUCUUUCAUUCCUUGUCCAUUUUCUUUGCCGCUUUCCAAAGGUUUUCACAAACCAUUUAUGUUUCCAUGAGGUCAAACAAUACCCAAUUGAAACUCCGAUUACUAGCCCACUUCCGUAUCCCAUUAGGACAAAUUUCCAAUCAAAUUCACUAGUUGAACCUUGUUUAGAGGAUGAAGGUGUUGAUGGUGAUGCCUCAGAACUUCCACAUGCCCUUGACAAAGGACUUCCACACAACCCCGGGUUCCCAUCAAAGGAAGUAUUUGGAAAUGUUGCAAAUUGUUUUCCUUGUGGUAUAGGCCCUGUAAGAUGAUUAUUAGACACAUUGAAGAAAGCGAGGAAUGUCAUCCUUGUUAGUUGCCAAGGGAUCUCUCCUGAGAGCUUGUUCUGGGAAAGAUCCAAUGAUUCCAUCUGUGUUAGGUUCAUCAGGGAGGAUGGGAUAUGGCCGGUAAUAUUGUUGCGGCCAAGGUUGAGCAAAUGAAGUCCCUUGAGGUUCCCAAUGGAGGUUGGAAUUUGUCCUUUGAAAUUGUUGCCAGAGAAAUCAAUUGCUAUGAAAGUAUCAGGGAUUUCCUGAUAAAACCUCUGCAUGCCUUUGUUUGUCAUUGUCAUUGAGUAUAUGUACUUGAAAGUCUGCGUAUACCCUGGGCUUUGAAACGUUUGAUUGGCCUGCAUGACCUUGAGGUGGUUUGCAUCUGCAAGUUUCAUGGCAUCCCAAUUUUGGAAAUACACUGAUGGCAAAUCACCUAUAAACUCGUUGUCAGAGAGGUCAAUAAUGCGCAACUUGGGAAACCUGAAAUUGGUGUGCCAGCUCCCUAUUGCACCAUGGAAUCUGUUGGAUCUCAAAAUAAGAACCUGUAGCUGUGGGAGAGCUCCUAACCAAAAAGGGAAAAUAUCAUGGAUUUGAUUGUUUCCGAGAACAAGUUGCUCGAGCAUUGUGCAAUUGGCCAAUGAUAUUGGGAUUUGACCUUGGAAUUGAUUUUCACUUAAGUCGAUCAUCCUCAAACUGCUUGGGUUGGUGCACAUCUGAGGAAUGGGGCCAUGCAAGUUGUUGCCUCCGAGAUUGAGUAUAGACAACGAAGAGCUAAGGCUGGUCAAGGAUUGAGAAAUUUGGCCAGUAAAAAGGUUAAAUGAAAGGUCUAAAAUAGACAGCUGGGUAAGGUGACUAAGUGAAGAUGGGAUCAUCCCUGUGAAUUUGCAUGAGUCGAGGUCCAAUACAGUCAAAGAAACAAGCCUCCCAAUUGAAGCUGGUAACUCACCAGAAAAACUUGUACCAGCAAGAAACAACAUUUUUAGGGGACUGGUUUCCUGAAAUUCAGGUAAAUAACCGGUCAGACCUGGAUUGUACCUCACACUAAGAAGCUGUAGGCUUGGAAGCCGAAAAAUGUUCAUUGGGAAUUCACCAUACAGUCCACAUCCUCUCAAAAGGAGAGAUGUCAAUGAAGAUAAAUUUGCCAACACAUGAGGUAUUGUUGAAGAAAUGUUCACCAGGUUUAGAUGAAGUGUCUUUAAGUGGGUUAAGUUUUGAACUAGAUUUCUCAAGCCAGGCUUUUGAAGCUCCAACAUUGGGUUUCUCGAGAGAUCAAGGAAAACCAAUUUGGACAAUGCUAAGAGUUCCGAUGGGAUUUGGCCUGAGAAUUUAGAACCAGAGAGGUUAAGACUUCUAAGCCUUGAAAGCUGACCAACUUUAUGUGGGACCUCAGAGUAAUUGAAAUCAUUAUCGGAAAGGUCAAGCGUACUGAGAUGAACGAGACUGAAGAGGGUGUUGCUGGAGUUGAUAGAACCAUAGAGACAACUACUUGCGAGGUGAAGGCCGAUGACAUGACCAGUCUCCUUGUCACACUCAACACCAUCCCAUGAACAGCAAUCACUUUCCUCUCCUUCUCCAUGGGAUUUCCACGUUGAAACUUUUGGAUAAGCAGAAGGAUCAUCAGAAGCAUCCUCAUCAAUCAAGAAGCUUUGCUUGAACUGAAGCAAGGCAGAACUCUCACUAGCAUGGCACAGUGGGUGCUGCAUAGCAGAGGAAGCAUUGGUUACCAUUAGAUAAAAAGAUGAGGGUAAAAGGAGAAAGCGCAUGAACAUGAAGAGAUACAAAGCUGAGCCCAUAUUUUCUAUGGACAAAGAAAGCAAAUGGGAGGGAUGAGGGUUCACAGGCAGGAUCCGUACUCUAAUAUAGCAAUUUUGACUAAUGUGCAUUGACAGUAACCCAGUAGGCCAGUCUGCCCACAAAUUUUAAACUAACUCAGAACAUGCCCCUCCAUGUGUCCUUGUUACUAACAACAAAAAUCUCAGCCACAAGUCAAGUCGUCUCCGUAGGCUUACGGGUGUCGACAUUAAGCAAAAUCUUUAUUUAUUAAAUGACCGGCGCUGCCUCUCUCUUCAACUGUCCUUAUUAUUUUAAUUCAUUUCAAAUAAAAUAUUUAUACCUUAUUGAAAUAUUAAUAUCCAUAUUUUAUCUUUAUUUUCUUAACACAAAAAAUGCCAUUCAUAUUUUACUAAUUAUUGUUUAUAAAAUUGUUUUCUUAUUUUUUCACAAAUUUUAAAUUGUAUUUAAUUUAAUAUUAAUAUAAAAUUGAAAUUACAAAUCCUUUUACAGAAUAAAAAAAAUUAUUUGUGUCUUUAAAAGUUCUUUGCAAUCAAGAUAUUGUUUGAUACAUUUUUUAUUUUCUAUUUAAAAAAAAAAUUGAUACUCUUCUAAGAAUCUCUCCAUUUUUCUGGGUCUUUGCCAAGAACUAGGUCAAAGAUUACAGCGGUUGGUUUGUAGUUGAGUGAGAGAUCCACCCAUCUUGAAUUUAGGCAUGGUCUUUCAUCAAUGGUGAACCAUGAACCUUCAUGGCAAAGUUUCAGCCGACAGAUUUGUCCAAUAAAGCGGCUAAAAAUUUCCUUAGUUUCUCGAUCACACAAAAACAGGUCAGGAUUUAAAUAGUUUCACACUAUUAUCUAUAUGAAUAUAUUCAUGGAGUCGAAAAUUUUGAAGUCAAUGAUCAUUAACGUUCAAAAUAUAAAAGAAAUUAUGAUUUUUAGAAAACUACAAAAUUCCCAAAAAGAUCAAUAUCCGAGCCCAUUAGUCCUCCAGCCUUUAAAACAGAAAAUUCAAUAACAUAAAAAGGCCUAAAAUCUCUCAAGACCCUCCAAGAGCAGUAAGGACAUGUUACCAAACAACACUGGAAAGUUGAAACCAGGUCUCAGUAAUGUACUAGAUGGAACCAUCAAAGUUUAUUUCAUAUCGGACAGGCAGGGCAGCUCAGGCCAGGGAAGGAAUGCAGUGGCCCCAUUUUCCAUUUGACAAUGAGGAGCAGAGGAAGCAAAAAGCAGUUCAGAACCUCAAGCAAUAAUAAGAGUGUACUUAAACUAGAUUGAUUACAGUUUGUUGAUUUUCCACAGUUCCGUGUGCACUGUUCCAAAAAAUGGCAAGGCAUAAGAAUAACCACUACCCUAAAUUAUUGACAGAAUUAUAGUUUCUAAAUGUUGCAAAGUUGACCAAAAAUAGUAGACAUGUAUAGCUAUAAAAAUGGAUUAAAUUUGGGUUUACAUAUAUGAUAGUGGGUUGGGAUCUAGACCAUUCAUACAGGUUUGACAAGGUCAGUUUCUGGCUCUAACUGGGCAACUAUCUGAAUACUUUCCUUCUAAAGGAAUAAGAGGUAUUUGUCUUGGUCGGACGGUAUGCUUACAGUACCUUGCGGCUCAAUUAAACAUAUGCCAAGAAGCUUCCUGGUAUGCUAUGCUCGAAAGAUUUAACUUCAUGAAAUCAAAAAGACAUGAUCAAUUUUGAUACUGAAAUAAUUGCAAUACUGAAUAUAUGCUCUAUUAAACUUUCCAAGAAAAAUCACUUCCUGGUUUCAACUCUACUUGAACAACCUAUAAAAGGAGAGCCAAUUUUAUAUACUAACUUUAUUACAUCAAAUUUUAAAAAUUUUAAUGACGUGAGCUCACUGGAAGUGAUUAAGGCGGCCUUGUUAUGCCAUACUAGACCUGUCCCUCAAGUCUUUAGUGGAGCUGGAAGGAAAAUUUCGAAGUCUUAAAGCAAGCUAUUGCAGUUGAUUUCCAUUUGCACAUCUCAAAGUCUUUAGUGGAGCAAGAAGAGAUGUGAAUAUGUCUAUUUGCAACUGAUUUUCAUCCAGAGAGCAAAAACAAUAGCAGACGAGCAAAGUAAACGAGUUCACAUUCUAUUGCAGGUCUAACAUAGAAAGGGAUGUCUCCCUGUAUAUAGAUUCUGCAUGCCCAUGUAGUCAGUCCAUAAUGCUCAUUUAUUCUUGAAUUGGGGAGAUCAGAAACAAUAUUACAUAACAGAAAGAAGCAAGUUACAUUUAGAAAGCCAUAAUUUUACAUGGUUCCAUAAUAGGCCCUUUAUCAAGUCACCAACAAUGAAAAAAGAAAAAAAAUAAAAAUAAAUUAUAUGUUUUUUCAAACUCAUUUAAUUUAUUUUUACUUUUCUAUCUAAAGAUUAAAUAAUUUAAAUGUAUAUAAAUUUCUAACUAAUUUUAUUUAUAUUUUAUUAUCCUUGAUGAUAAAACCAAACAUGGGGUGAGUGUUGAUAUCUCUUCCUCCCACCUUUUCAACAGGGAUAAAUAAUUGGAUAGAUCUUCACACCCAAUAAGCUUUUUUGAUAGGAAAGAGCAUUGUUUAUUUUAAUUAUUCGGCAAUCAAGGUGCAUGUAAUAUCCCACAAGAUUGCCCCUAGCCUUGGGCCAUAAGGUGUUAUACAAGGGGUUAAGUUCCAUUGCAAAGUUCUAAGUGUCAAAUGUUAAGAUAGACAAAAGACCUUUGUAGAUGAGCCAAAUAACUGAGAUCUUUAGCUCAUGGUUGAUUACAAUUUGUAUUAAUACAGUAGCAUAAAUAUAAACCACCCAAGCACUUUUACAUCCCAAGUGGCUCAUUAUAUUAUUAGUAGUUACAUAUAAAAGCUCCUAACUCUAAGCUAGGGCAAUGUCCUUUUUCACCUAUUUGCAAGAAAAUAAAUGGAACAAUAUAAUAAAUACAAGAUAGUCAAAUUACUUCUGAUAUAUAAAAUUUUCAAACUUCUAGUUGUUGUACCCCACUGGAUAAGAAAGAGAGAAAAGAUAAAUGAAGCGAUAAAACUAGCAUUGCAGUUUAUUAUUGUGAUAUCUCAUAUAAGAUAUAAGAGAAAAUUACUAGACCUAUAUAUAUAUGGACUCCUCUUAACCAAGUAGACACGUUUUAAAUCCAUGAAAGUCUUUUUAGGCCCAAAAUGAACAAUAUUUACAUAGUUAGGAGAAAGUCAUUAUAAAUGGUAUUAGAGUCGAUCCCCGAACUCGGUGUGAGGGUUUAUUUAGCACAAUAUGGAGUAUUUGUUUGUUUGGCCCCAUAAUCUCAUGAGAUACAAUGAGGAUGUUGUGUUUGUAUGUGAGGGUGUUUGUGAUAUCAUACAUCGAAUAUAUGAGAAAGUCACUAGAGCUAUAUAUGUAUGAGCUCUUCUUAACCAAGUAGACGCAUUUUAAAACUAUGAGGGCUCCUUUGGGCCUAGAACAGAUAAUAUUUACACAGUUGGGAGUGGGUUGUUACAGAAUGGUAUCAAAGUUGAUCUCCGACCCUGGUGUGGGUGUUUGUUUGAUCUCAUACGGAGUAUUUGUCCAUUUGGUCUUGCAAUUCCGCUAGACACAACGAGGACAUUGUGACUGCAUGAGGGAGUGUUUGUAAUAUCUCACAUCGAAUAGGGGACAAAGUUACUGGGGCUAUAUAUGUAUGGAUUCCUCUUAACCAAGUAAAUGUGUUUUAAACCCAUGAGGGUCUCUUUGAACCCAGAGCGAACAAUAUCUACACGGUUGGAAGCAGGUCAUUACAAAUGAUAUCAUAGUCGAUCCUCAAUCCUUGUGUGGGGGUUUGUUUGGCCCCAUAUGGGGUGUUUGUCUGUUUGGUCCUAUAAUCCCAUGGGACACAAGGAAAACAUCGUGUUUGCAUGGGGCGGGGGGUUUUUGGAAUAUCUCACAUCAAAUAAGGGAGAAAGUUAUUGGGACACGUACUAUAAAUGUAUGGGCUCCUCUUAACCAAGUAGACGCGUUUUAAAAUUGUGAGGGCUUCUUUAGGCCAAGAGCGGACAAUAUUUACUUAGUUGGGAGCGAGUCAUUACAAUUAUAGAUCAUAGACAUCUUGUAUUGUUAGUACUGUCUCAUUACUCAACAAAAUAGGAAGUUUAAAGAAUAAAAAGAGAGAGAAAUCAAAUAGUGGCAGAAUAAGAAGAAAAAAAAAGGAAGAAAUAGAGUAGCACAAGAAACACAUGAAUUUAAAUUUCUCAAGAAAACUAUGGUUGGAUGAUAUAGGCAUGUUUGACAACUAUUUUUUGUAAAACAUUUUUCAUUUUUCAGAACAAAAAAAUAGAAAAUAGUUUUAUAAUCUUAAAAACAAAAAAUCGCGCAUUUUCGGAAAACAAUUUUUAGUUAUUUUCACUUAUUUUUUGAAUUUUUUUAGAAAUAAUUAUAUAAUUAUAGAGUGAUUAAUUAAAAUAAAGUAUUACAAAUAGAAGUUGUUUUUAGAAUACAUUUAAAAAUAUAAAAAAUAGAUUAAAAAUAUUUGAAAUUUCUAAAAAAAAAUUUGUAUUAGAAAACAUCUUAUAACAAUUUUCAAUAACUAUUUUUGAAAAAAAAAAAAUCCCAAACAAAGCUUUAAUAUUUAUGUCUCUCUUUUUCCUUCUCCAUUUGGUUUUCACAUCCCAAAAGUUUUUAUAUCCCAUCAAUAUGACUUGAUAAAAGGAAAAAAGAAUACUAAAAGAAGUGAUGAGACUAACACCUUCAGCUUGCAGUUCAAUACAUGCCAUAAUCAAGUUGGAUCGCUACACUACACAUAACUAAGAAACCUAAGCAGUUUUUACAUCCAUUCACCAACACACACAAGUUGAAGUAACAACAUGACUGAAAAGGAAAAAGAAAUGAAGAAAGAAGUCCAACAAUGCAAGCAGUAUACAUAGAUUAAGAAAUCUUUCAAGGAACUCUAGGUUGGAUAAAUUUAGCCUCUGUGCCCCCUUCUUUCAUUCCUUGUUCAUUUUCUUUGCCACUUUCCAAAGGUUUUCAUGAACCAUUCAUGUUUCCAUGAGGUCAAGUAGUACCCAAUUAAAACUUCGAUUACUAAUCCACUUUCGUAUCCCAUUACUACAAAAUUUCCAAUCAAAUUCAUUAGUUGAACCUUGUUUAGAGGAUGAAGGUGUUGGUGGUGAUGCCUCAGAACUUACACAUGUCCUUGACAAAGGACUUCCACAAAACCCCGGGUUCCCAUUAAAGGAAGCAUUUGGAAAUGUUGCAAAUUGUUUUCCUUGUGGUAUAGGCCCUGUAAGAUGAUUAUGAGACACGUUGAAGAAUGAAAGGAAUGUCAUCCUUGUUAGUUGCUAAGGGAUCUCUUCUGAGAGCUUGUUCUGGGAAAUAUCCAAGUACUCCAGCUGAGUUAGGUUCCCCAUGGAGGAUGGGAUAUGGCCAAUAAGAUUGUUGCCACCAAGGUUGAGCAAAUGAAGCCCCUUAAGGUUCAAAUACUCCUAAGAGCUUGUUCUGGGAAAGAUCCAAAUACUCCAGCUGAGUUAGGUUCCCCAUGGAGGAUGGGAUAUGGCAAGUAAGAUUGUUGCCGCCAAGGUUGAGCAAAUGAAGCCCCUUGAGGUUCCCCAUGGAGGUUGGAAUCUAUCCUUUGAAAUUGUUGCCCUAGAAAUCAAUUCCUACGAAAAUAUCAAGGAUCUUAUCAUAAAACCUCUGCAUGCCUUUGUUUGUCAUUGUCAUCGAGUACAUGUAACUGGAAAUUCACAUAUAGCUUGGGAUUUGAAUCUUGUGAUUGGCCUACAUGUGCUUAAGGUGGUUUGCAUCUGCAAGUUUCAUGGCAUCCCAAUUUUGCAA
RNAcentral lists this long non-coding RNA (10513 nucleotides) under Vitis vinifera (wine grape). RNAcentral's name for it is "long non-coding RNA (VVIN_LNC003772)". The record is from RNAcentral. Lineage: Eukaryota; Viridiplantae; Streptophyta; Magnoliopsida; Vitales; Vitaceae.